Molecule: long non-coding RNA, 375 nt
Filed under: Canis lupus familiaris (dog)
Lineage: Eukaryota; Metazoa; Chordata; Mammalia; Carnivora; Canidae
Description: lncRNA (ENSCAFG00030023987.1)
Source: RNAcentral
UCAAUUAUUAUCUAGGGCUGCUUUGUGCUAACAAGAAUGGAAACUUCUGUCCUGUGCUCCUCCAUUUUCCUAGAAAAAAGAAUCUGAUCAGUCACUAAUACCUUACUAUGAACUAGUUGCUGUGUGAUUAGCUACUCCUAGGAGCAACUUUGUUUUUAAAAAAACAAAUUGAGGGAAGUUUAUUCAAUAAGAUGAGUCUUUUAGUAGCAGAGCUUUGGACUCUUGGCAUCUGAGAAGGAGCAAUUUUUAAGACCUUAAGAUUUUCUUGGUACACUCAGUGUUGCGGCGGGGACACAGCUGGUCCUGAGAAGGCAUCAUACUCAGACAAGCCUGCAAGAUUGCAUUCAUUCCUGUUGGUGAGUCCUAAGCUUUAGA